RNAcentral lists this transfer RNA (73 nucleotides) under Fukomys damarensis (Damara mole-rat). It matches the Rfam family "tRNA". Rfam says of the family: Transfer RNA (tRNA) molecules are approximately 80 nucleotides in length. Their secondary structure includes four short double-helical elements and three loops (D, anti-codon, and T loops). Lineage: Eukaryota; Metazoa; Chordata; Mammalia; Rodentia; Bathyergidae. The record is from Rfam by way of RNAcentral.
AGGGAUUUAGCUUAGUGGUUCUACCACCUGUCUCAUAAGCACAAGGACCCAAGUUCAAUCCUUGGUAUCCCCA